This 164-nucleotide ribosomal RNA is filed under the name uncultured Pseudoxanthomonas sp. RNAcentral describes it as "partial 16S ribosomal RNA". It matches the Rfam family "Bacterial small subunit ribosomal RNA", at positions 338 to 497 of the family's 1533-position model. The record is from RNAcentral. Lineage: Bacteria; Pseudomonadati; Pseudomonadota; Gammaproteobacteria; Lysobacterales; Lysobacteraceae.
CCUACGGGAGGCAGCAGUGGGGAAUAUUGGACAAUGGGGGCAAGCCUGAUCCAGCAAUGCCGCGUGGGUGAAGAAGGCCUUCGGGUUGUAAAGCCCUUUUGUACGGGAAGAAAGCAUUCGGGUUAAUACCCUGGGUGGAUGACGGUACCGAAGAGAAGCCUGUC